GGGUUGGGAGUGCUGCCUUUAUGCGGUGCGUCGGGCUUUAUGCCCGCCUGGCUC
The submitters of this non-coding RNA (54 nucleotides) gave its source as unclassified sequences. The record is from Rfam.